AAGCAUCAAGUGGAUAAGGGGCCAGUGGACAGUGUGACAGGCAAGGCCAAAUACACCUUGAACGACAACCGCCUGCUCAGAGAGGAUGUGGAGUACCGUCCCCUGACCUUGAAUGCACUAUUGGCUGUGGGGCCUGGGGCAGGAGAGGCCCAGGGCGUGCCCGUGAAGGUUCUAGACUGUGACACCAUCUCCCAGGCAAAGGAGAAGAUGCUAGACCAGCUUUAUAAAGGAGUGCCUCUCACCCAGCGGCCAGACCCUCGCACACUUGAUGUUGGUGAGGGCGUGGAGAGCCCCUGGGGACCUGAGCCAAUGUUGGGCCUGGGCUGGCCCUGGACCAGCUCUACAGGGACAGCUCAUCACUCAGGGUGGGGAGGAUGCUGGGAGGCAGGCAGAAACUGGCUUUGGAACAUCUUUGUUGGACAGCCUCUCAUCUGGGGAGGGGUCCCUGCUCUUGGUCUUUGGAGAGGUUGAGUAAGGCUGCCCCAUGAUGGAGGGGCUGGUGUCCCUGUGGAAGAGGAUAUGGGCUCCACUAGGGGAAGGGUAUCCUCCAGCCCUGCACCCAGUUCUGCCUUGCCCUUGCAGAGUGGCGGUCUGGGGUGGCUGGGCACCUCAUUCUUUCUGACGAGGAUGUCACUUCUGAGGUCCAGGGUCUGUGGAGGCGCCUGAACACACUGCAACAUUACAAGGUAGGAGGGGUGGGAGCUGGAGGAGGGCAUGGUGGGGUGGGACUGGUGGAGGGAUCACCAGCUGUGCUCAGCAGGUCCCAGAUGGAGCAACUGUGGCCCUCGUCCCCUGCCUCACCAAGCAUGUGCUCCGGGAAAACCAGGAUUAUGUCCCUGGAGAGCGGACCCCAAUGCUGGAGGAUGUAGAUGAGGGGGGCAUCCGGCCCUGGCACCUGGUGAAGCCAA
This 908-nucleotide small RNA is filed under the name Pongo abelii (Sumatran orangutan). RNAcentral's name for it is "retained intron". Lineage: Eukaryota; Metazoa; Chordata; Mammalia; Primates; Hominidae. The record is from RNAcentral.